RNAcentral lists this ribosomal RNA (253 nucleotides) under uncultured bacterium. Its description in RNAcentral is "partial 16S ribosomal RNA". It matches the Rfam family "Bacterial small subunit ribosomal RNA", at positions 1 to 229 of the family's 1533-position model. The record is from RNAcentral.
AACUAGNCGGUACUCCGAAUGCAUUCAGAUUGAUUAAAGAUCAUGGCUCAGAAUCAACGCUGGCGUGNGUGCCUAACACAUGCAAGUCGCACGAGAAAGUGGAGCAAUCCAUGAGUAAAGUGGCGCACGGGUGAGUAACACGUGAAUUAUCUACCUCCGAGUGGGGAAUAACCUGGAGAAAUCCGGGCUAAUACCGCAUAACACUUACCGAGUUCAAAAGGCCAGGCAAAUUUGGCUGGCCUUUUUGGACGGA